This 1438-nucleotide ribosomal RNA is filed under the name Heterosphyriocephalus tergestinus. RNAcentral's name for it is "partial large subunit ribosomal RNA". The record is from RNAcentral. Lineage: Eukaryota; Metazoa; Platyhelminthes; Cestoda; Trypanorhyncha; Sphyriocephalidae.
CCCUAGUACGGCGAGUGAAGAGGGAAAAGCCCAGCACCGAAGCCUGCGGCAGUUUUGCUGUUAGGCAAUGUGGUGUUUAGGCCGGCUCGUGGGAUUGCCACUCCACUCGAAGUCCAGCAUUGAGUAUGGUUUCCCCUGGAUUUGGCCCAGAGAGGGUGAAAGGCCCGUACGAGUGGAUGUUUCAGACAUGAAAGGCAGUUCACCAGGCCGGCCUCCGAGUCGGGUUGUUUGAGAAUGCAGCCCAAAGCGGGUGGUAAACUCCAUCCAAGGCUAAAUACAAGCACGAGUCCGAUAGCGAACAAGUACCGUGAGGGAAAGUUGAAAAGUACUUUGAAGAGAGAGUAAACAGUACGUGAAACCGCAUAGAGGUAAACGGGUGGCGUCAAGCUGCAAGCCCAGAGGAUUCAGUCGGUCAGGGUGUUGUGUAUGCGCCUGGCGCAUCUAUCAGUCGGUGUUAUACGAGGGGCAGUCCGCCGGGAAACGGUGGGCCCAGCCGCAAGGUUGGGAUUUGCUUACCGGGUGGUUGCCGGUGCAUGCUGCUCGUCUGUUGGACUGCCUGGCCGAUGCACUUCCUCUGAUAUGGCUAACACCACGACCGGUGGUACUGCCAGUCUGUUGUGGCCAAGUUGUGCUCAGGUGGCACUCGUGUCGCCUGGGUGCGAUCACAGGCAAUGUCGGUGAACGGUGUUCGGGCGUUCGCGUCAGUUCAUGUUAUCGGGCACCGCUUGUCAACGGGUCUGUCGCCCUAGGUUGUAGUGGCUGGGCGGCGUGACUCGGUGGGCCAUGAUGGUACAAAUAACUGUGCAGGGCAUCGGAGGGCUCGGUCUCUAACCCGGCCCGUGCGCACCACUACAGUGUGGAGCGGGGUGUCGUUGCGGCCUGCCUGUGGCUGGGUCUGAUCGUCGUGUCGCCUGCGCAAAGUGGGCCCGGCGGUGGCCUGGCCCGGGUCGGAGUCGUGGAUGGCGCCUCCAGUGUGCGGGUUCGGUGAGGGCCAAAUAGUCAGUGGUGUAGUGGUAGACGAGCUACCCGACCCGUCUUGAAACACGGACCAAGGAGUUUAACAUGCACGCAAGUCAAUGGGCCCUACGAAACCCAAAGGCGCAGUGAAAGUGAAGCCUCGGGUUAAUCCCCGGGGUGUGGUGAGAUCCUGCCGUUACUCGCAUCUGUGCACUCGUGCAUUCUUGUGUCAGCACCAGGCAUUAAAGAGCGGCAGGCGCAUCACCGGCCCGUCCCAUGAUGUGGUCAUCGGUUGGCUGUGGCUGUGGGCUUCGGUUYGCGGCUGCGGCUGCUGGUGCGCCAUCGGGGCGGAGCAUGAGCGUGCAUGUUGAGACCCGAAAGAUGGUGAACUAUGCUUGCGUAGGUUGAAGCCAGAGGAAACUCUGGUGGAGGACCGCAGCGAUUCUGACGUGCAAAUCGAUCGUCAAACGUGAGUAUAGGG